RNAcentral lists this ribosomal RNA (468 nucleotides) under uncultured bacterium. RNAcentral's name for it is "partial 16S ribosomal RNA". It matches the Rfam family "Bacterial small subunit ribosomal RNA", at positions 28 to 507 of the family's 1533-position model. The record is from RNAcentral.
GACGAACGCUGGCGGCGUGCUUAACACAUGCAAGUCGAACGGAAAGGCCCUGCUUUUGUGGGGUGCUCGAGUGGCGAACGGGUGAGUAACACGUGAGUAACCUGCCCUUGACUUUGGGAUAACUUCAGGAAACUGGGGCUAAUACCGGAUAGGAGCUCCUGCUGCAUGGUGGGGGUUGGAAAGUUUCGGCGGUUGGGGAUGGACUCGCGGCUUAUCAGCUUGUUGGUGGGGUAGUGGCUUACCAAGGCUUUGACGGGUAGCCGGCCUGAGAGGGUGACCAGGCACAUUGGGACUGAGAUACGGCCCAGACUCGUACGGGAGACAGCAGUGGGGAAUAUUGCACAAUGGGGGGAAGCCUGAUGAAGCAGCGCCGCGUGCGGGAUGACGGCCUGCGGGUUGUAAACCGCUUUCGCCUGUGACGAAGCGUGAGUGACGGUAAUGGGUAAAGAAGCACCGGCUAACUACGUG